This is a long non-coding RNA of Vidua macroura (Pin-tailed whydah), 783 nucleotides long. RefSeq lists it as uncharacterized. The transcript is spliced from 3 exons. The record is from RefSeq and is a predicted model, not a curated record. NCBI's taxonomy places the organism in Eukaryota, Metazoa, Chordata, Aves, Passeriformes, Viduidae.
CAAAGAUGUUUCCGGCUCAAGACCCUUAAGAGGGAAGGCUAGCUGAAGAAACAAGAAAACGCUAUCAGCGUCCGGAAUGUUUCCAGCUGCCAUUUUGGGGAGCAGCAGACGCAAUACCUGAGGGAUUCAAUAAGGGUACAGGACAACUAAGGUACAGCAAGGAAAAACAAGCAACAACAAAACCAUACAAAAUCCAAAAUCAAAAGAGAAAUGAAUGGAGAACUGUGGUAGUGUGUUUUUCAGCUGUAAUUGUUUAAGUUGUUAAUGUGUUUUAUUCCAAAGGUUUGUAAUGGUUUAUUCCUAUGUACCCGUACCUUCUGUUAAAGUGGUCUAGCCUUAUGUUAAGCCCUUCCCCUGCACCCUUCCAUCAAUCCUUGUACCUGCCCCCUUUUCCAGUCUCUUCCAUGUCAGUCUAUGUAGUCCUGCCCCUGCCAUCCAUCAAUCAUUGUAACCCCUGCCUUUUAUCUAGAAUCUUCCCUAUCAUUUAUGUAAUCCCUAACCUUCCAUUGGUUGUGGAUGUUUGCUCUCCUGCCCCCAUGUACCUUAUUAGUUGUAUGUUAAUGCAGUCCCACCUCAUGCUCCUCCCUUAAGCUAGCUGGUUGGUUGUUAGGCUGUCCCCCUGCUACUUCAGAGACCGCCCCCCCUUUAUAAGUUGCUGCACUGCCUUGUUCUGUGCUCUUUGUCUUUGCUUUCCUUCAUGUGUGAUAGUUUCCUCUUUGUCUUUGCUUUUCCUUUGUGUGUUACAUCUGCUCGCUCCCUCUCAGGGGAGGAAUAAAAGCCACU